UGGGGAGUUAUCUUGGGGAAUUGUUUAUCUGGCAUUGGGUGCGCCUGUAUCAAUGUGGCCGUCUUGGCGGAUUGUGUAAAUGAAGCCGUGUCUCACGGAUUACCCGAUAAUAUAGUCACAUAUGGCAAUUUGUCAGCAAUAUUUGAUACAUCAAUGGGUCUGGGGAGUUUCAUUGGGCCCUUUAUUGGAGCAGCUAUCGUGGAACAUAAUCCAUUCAGCACGUUAUCGGCAGUCCUUACGGGGCUCUG
Lingula anatina is the source of this 248-nucleotide long non-coding RNA. NCBI's taxonomy places the organism in Eukaryota, Metazoa, Brachiopoda, Lingulata, Lingulida, Lingulidae. The record is from RefSeq and is a predicted model, not a curated record.